This 604-nucleotide ribosomal RNA is filed under the name Colletotrichum truncatum. RNAcentral's name for it is "eukaryotic LSU rRNA". The stretch from base 233 to 386 matches the Rfam family "5.8S ribosomal RNA". The record is from RNAcentral. RNAcentral also lists the same sequence under 2 other names. Lineage: Eukaryota; Fungi; Ascomycota; Sordariomycetes; Glomerellales; Glomerellaceae.
GGAAGUAAAAGUCGUAACAAGGUCUCCGUUGGUGAACCAGCGGAGGGAUCAUUACUGAGUUACCGCUCAUCAACCCUUUGUGAACAUACCUUAACUGUUGCUUCGGCGGGUAGGCGUCCCCUAAAAAGGACGUCUCCCGGCCCUCUCCCGUCCGCGGGUGGGGCGCCCGCCGGAGGAUAACCAAACUCUGAUUUAACGACGUUUCUUCUGAGUGACACAAGCAAAUAAUCAAAACUUUUAACAACGGAUCUCUUGGUUCUGGCAUCGAUGAAGAACGCAGCGAAAUGCGAUAAGUAAUGUGAAUUGCAGAAUUCAGUGAAUCAUCGAAUCUUUGAACGCACAUUGCGCCCGCCAGCAUUCUGGCGGGCAUGCCUGUUCGAGCGUCAUUUCAACCCUCAAGCUCUGCUUGGUGUUGGGGCUCUACGGUUGACGUAGGCCCUUAAAGGUAGUGGCGGACCCUCUCGGAGCCUCCUUUGCGUAGUAACAUUUCGUCUCGCAUUGGGAUUCGGAGGGACUCUAGCCGUAAAACCCCCAAUUUUACUAAGGUUGACCUCGGAUCAGGUAGGAAUACCCGCUGAACUUAAGCAUAUCAAUAAGCGGAGGA